GUUUGACUGGAUAAGAAGGCAGAGGUUGGGAAGGAAGAGCAAAAAGGGAAUGUGGGGAAUGUGGAGAUGAACUGCUUACUGUCCAUAUUGCCAACUUCCAGUCAUGGGCUUCAGUACAAACAAAGUCUGUCACCACACCAGAUGGAAGCCUGCACACCCUUCUACAUCUUUGGUCCUUGGCACUGGGUUUUGUCG
Non-coding RNA from Phascolarctos cinereus (koala), 195 nucleotides. The record is from RefSeq and is a predicted model, not a curated record. Lineage: Eukaryota; Metazoa; Chordata; Mammalia; Diprotodontia; Phascolarctidae.